CGCAGCAAGGGCCAGACUCUGCGCUAGCAGGCGCUGCGCGCCAACCGGCCGGCACCUGUCGCAGAAGGUGCAACCGAUCGCACUGUCGCGCAGAAGCUCCUCAAUGGCCAGCGCCAGCUGCAGCCCCGGCCGCCCACUCGCCUCAUCUGAGCCUGGGCAAAUCUGGAUUGGGAAAGUUGACAUUAAUCAACUCAUUAUUCCUCACAGAUUUGUAUUCUCCAGAGUAUCCAGGUCCUUCUCAGAGAAUUAAAAAGCCUGUACAGGUCUAGAUAUUGGUAUUUUUAAUUGAUGAUAAGCUGGAAUAAUAUUAAUACACACAAAGCACGUGUUGUAACUUUCAUUAUGCUUCCUUAGAGCGCUGCUCUAAGCUGUUGAUGAAAAAUAUUGUUGGUGAGCUCUGCUUAGGUAAUAUAUAGGACAUGAGCAGAGAGGAGGCACGUGAACAGUUCUGGCCUGGAGUAGGCUUCAUUGAGGCUGUGAUGCUUUUAGCUGGAUUUGAAGAAGUGGUAGUGAUCAUCCCAGUGCACAGGAUAGGUGGACAGUCUAUGUAUUCUGAGCAGUAACUCAUAUAUCUCAUACUGCAAGACCCCAAAGGAGUAAUUUUGUGAACUCUGUUCACGGAAAGGGCCUGGGAGCUGCAACACCUCAACAGCAACAAGCACACCUGCUACCUAGAACUUGGUUUCUAAAAACCAUCCUCCUCUAAAAGGAAACAGAGCUCUUUGAAGAAACGUGUGCAGUGAAGUGCUCCAGAGGCCCCAGCAUGCUACAUUACAG
RNAcentral lists this long non-coding RNA (777 nucleotides) under Homo sapiens (human). RNAcentral's name for it is "HSALNT0289618". The record is from RNAcentral. Lineage: Eukaryota; Metazoa; Chordata; Mammalia; Primates; Hominidae.